This 312-nucleotide unclassified non-coding RNA is filed under the name plant metagenome. RNAcentral's name for it is "partial contains 5.8S ribosomal RNA, internal transcribed spacer 2, and large subunit ribosomal RNA". The stretch from base 1 to 104 matches the Rfam family "5.8S ribosomal RNA", at positions 50 to 154 of the family's 154-position model. The record is from RNAcentral.
GAAAUGCGAUUCGUAAUGUGAAUUGCAAAUUCAGUGAAUCAUCGAGUCUUUGAACGCACAUUGCGCCCCCUGGUAUUCCGGGGGGCAUGCCUGUCCGAGCGUCAUUUCUGCCCUCAAGCACGGCUUGUGUGUUGGGCCCCGUCCUCCGAUCCCGGGGGACGGGCCCGAAAGGCAGCGGCGGCACCGCGUCCGGUCCUCGAGCGUAUGGGGCUUUGUCACCCGCUCUGUAGGCCCGGCCGGCGCUUGCCGAUCAACCCAAAUUUUUAUCCAGGUUGACCUCGGAUCAGGUAGGGAUACCCGCUGAACUUAAGC